CAUUUUCCUCCCCCUCCACCUUUGCCCCUGUCUCUGCUGUGUUCCCAUCGAGAGCAGCCAGAUCUUCUCCAACACAAUGUUCAGCAUCAAGGUGUUCCUACAGAAAACCCUGAUUCUUCUGCAGGUUACUCUGGCUGUUGUUGUUGGCAAAACACUGAUGAUACUGUUUCCCAAUGCCAUGAAAAGAUACAUCCUAAAACUGGGUGAAAAGAGCAGAAUGAACAAGAAUCCAAAGUUCAGCUAUGAAAACUGGGGUCCGACUUUUUUCAGCUUCAAGUAUUUGCUCUUUGUGCUGAAGGUGAAGUGGAAGAGGCUGGAAGAUGAAGCCUUCGAGGGACACCCUGCUCCCAACACGCCAGUGGUGACCCUGAAUGGGGAAGUUCGUCACCUCUUGGAUUUCAUGGGAGAUAACCGUCCUUUAAUCCUGAAUUUUGGAAGUUGCACCUGACCUUCAUUUAUGCUAAAAUUUGAUGAGUUCAACAAGCUCAUCAAAGAUUUUGGCUCAGUAGCAGAUUUCCUUAUCAUCUACAUUGAGGAAGCUCAUGCAAUGGAUGGGCUUUUAAAAACAAUGUUGUUAUUAAAAAUCACAGAAGCCUUGAAGAUCGAAAAAUUGCAGCACAAUUUCUUCAGAAAAAUAAUCCUUUAUGUCCAGUGGUUUUAGACACUAUGGAAAACCUGAGCAGCUCAAAAUACGCUGCACUGCCAGAACGACUCUAUCUGCUUCAAGGAGGGAAAGUCAUCUACAAGGGAGGAUUUGGGCCUUGGGAUUACCACCCCCAGGAAAUACGUGCCAUCCUGGAAAAGCUGAAAUAGAAAAAGAAGAGGAUUCAGAGUAAAGACUGGAUAAAGAAGUUCAAGAACAAUUUCUCACAGACAUAACUGUAAAGAAAAAAAAAGAAUUUAAAAAUAACAAGAGACAACAAGAAAAGGAAUAUUUUAUGUACAUCUAAAGAGCAUCCAUAAUGGGGUUCAUUAUGUGUUUGUCCAGAGGCUUUCAAGUGUCAUCAUUACAACCCCAACUACUGCUCUGUAGUAUCUUACUCCACUUAUACCACAAGCAGUGCUGUGGUAGCUGGGUCCAUUGAGCUCUCAUACCAACACUUAUAUUUGUAAGGACUGGAAACCAACAUUUACAUGUGUAAGGACUAUCCUGCAGGAUAAACUUCAGGGGUGCUGACUCCUGCAAGAGUCUUCUGGCAUUCAAAGCAACUGAUUCAACAUUACUAAGGUUCUCUUUCUCUUAUAUACAUACACCUGUUCCUAAACACUUUUACUGACUUCAGGAGGCUUCUGAGCAAGGCAAUCUCCAUCUCCACUUGUUUCCAUGAAUAUUUGUUAUGGCGGCCACAGCAUAAAGCACUGACGGCUGUGACCUGAUUCUAGAAAAUAUUUAUAGAAACAAGGGAUUGAUCUACAAUUAUUAAAAGUCUAUCAGAGCA
This is an RNA transcript of Corapipo altera (White-ruffed manakin), 1439 nucleotides long. It is a transcript of the gene named iodothyronine deiodinase 1, with no coding region annotated. The transcript has 4 exons. Lineage: Eukaryota; Metazoa; Chordata; Aves; Passeriformes; Pipridae. The record is from RefSeq and is a predicted model, not a curated record.